AUACGUAGGCAGCGAGCGUUGUUCGGAGUUACUGGGCGUAAAGGGUGUGUAGGCGGUUCUCUAAGUUUGGUGUGAAAUCUCCCGGCUCAACCGGGAGGGUGCGCCGAAAACUGGAGGGCUAGAGUGCGGGAAGGGAGAGUAGAAUUCCUGGUGUAGCGGUGAAAUGCGUAGAUAUCAGGAGGAAUACCGGUGGUGCAGACGGCUCUCUGGACCGCGACUGACGCUGAGACACGAAAGCGUGGGUAGCAAACAGGA
Molecule: ribosomal RNA, 255 nt
Filed under: uncultured prokaryote
Description: partial 16S ribosomal RNA
Rfam family: Bacterial small subunit ribosomal RNA
Source: RNAcentral